Podarcis lilfordi (Lilford's wall lizard) is the source of this 540-nucleotide non-coding RNA. The record is from the annotation of a GenBank genome assembly. NCBI's taxonomy places the organism in Eukaryota, Metazoa, Chordata, Lepidosauria, Squamata, Lacertidae.
CCCGAAUCCUCGCUUCCUGAGUCAGAGCAGCUUGAUUUGGAUCUGCUACCACGAUGCUUCUGUCUCUGUUCCUUCUCCUCACUUGCUGCUCAGGUGGAGACCAAACACUUCUCUCCCACUUUCCUCAGUCCUCCAUCCACUCACUCGCUACUACCUUUGGUUAACUUUGCAAUGCAUGGAAUUCAUCUCUCAUUCAAUCUUCUUUCUCCUUUUUACUUGUCUCGCAGGGGCUCUCUCUCAGUUCACCCUGACUCAGCCUCCCGCAGCAUCAGCUUCACUGGCAGGUACAGCCCAACUCUCCUGCACAAUUAGUUCCAGCUUUGGAGGCUUUGGCUGGUAUCAACAAAAAGCAGGAAGGAGCCCGAAUUUUAUCCUGUUGCAGAGCAUAAACGAAGACAAGACAUAUUUUGGACCGGAGUUCUCCAGCCGCUUCUCUCCUUCCAAUGAUGCACCUAAAAAAGUGGCCUAUUUAACCAUCACCAACGUGCAGGCAAAUGAUGAGGCUGACUAUUACUGUCUUGCUGGAGCUGGAGGCAAGUC